UACCUACGGGCGGCUGCAGUGGGGAAUAUUGGACAAUGGGCGGAAGCCUGAUCCAGCCAUGCCGCGUGUGUGAAGAAGGCCUUUUGGUUGUAAAGCACUUUAAGCGAGGAGGAGGCUACUCUAGUUAAUACCUAGAGAUAGUGGACGUUACUCGCAGAAUAAGCACCGGCUAACUCUGUGCCAGCAGCCGCGGUAAUACAGAGGGUGCGAGCGUUAAUCGGAUUUACUGGGCGUAAAGCGUGCGUAGGCGGCUGAUUAAGUCGGAUGUGAAAUCCCUGAGCUUAACUUAGGAAUUGCAUUCGAUACUGGUCAGCUAGAGUAUGGGAGAGGAUGGUAGAAUUCCAGGUGUAGCGGUGAAAUGCGUAGAGAUCUGGAGGAAUACCGAUGGCGAAGGCAGCCAUCUGGCCUAAUACUGACGCUGAGGUACGAAAGCAUGGGGAGCAAACAGGAUUAGAUACCCGAGUAGUC
This 468-nucleotide ribosomal RNA is filed under the name uncultured Acinetobacter sp. RNAcentral describes it as "bacterial SSU rRNA". It matches the Rfam family "Bacterial small subunit ribosomal RNA", at positions 335 to 795 of the family's 1533-position model. The record is from RNAcentral. Lineage: Bacteria; Pseudomonadati; Pseudomonadota; Gammaproteobacteria; Moraxellales; Moraxellaceae.